CGACAACUUAGACAACUACUAACGAUAAAAGAGUUUUUAAAACGGCGUUUCUCCUUAUGUAAAUCAUGAAUUAAGGGAGAAUUCUGGUCUAGAAACUAACUGAGACAAGUAAUAUUGACUGAAUCAUUUAGAGUUAAUUGGUAUCUAGUUGAAACAGUGGCAUGUCUGCACCGCGCUAACCGCCGGCUCCGAUCUAGCAGAAAACCACACAAGUUUUUUUAUCAUAACUUGCUAUUGGUAAUAUAUUUUGCCUUAAUGUAUUGCCAUUACUGGCUUGAGGAUUACAGCUGCCCGAUAAUCUAUGCUGUUACGUUAAUUUGAUAAGAAAGCAAAGAGACCGUUCUCAUAUUAGACAUAAACAUGUUAACUUGCGAGCGUGAAGGGGCUUAGAAAAUAAUCGCUUAGAAACUUUACGCAAGGUGGUAUCUUUUAAAAGUUAAUGUAGUUCUGCAUACAUAUAUAUGAUAAGUCCAUGUCACAACGUUAAACAAGUUAUUUUGCCCACAAAUUUCGACCCUCGACUUUUUUUGACCCUCGACUUUUUUUGACCCUCGACUUUUUACCCUCACCCUCGACUUUUUACCCUCACCCUCGACAUUGGACCCUCGACACUCGACCCUCGACAAAAACCUAAACUCC
This is a non-coding RNA of Paramuricea clavata, 639 nucleotides long. NCBI's taxonomy places the organism in Eukaryota, Metazoa, Cnidaria, Anthozoa, Malacalcyonacea, Plexauridae. The record is from the annotation of a GenBank genome assembly.